Molecule: long non-coding RNA, 2190 nt
Filed under: Homo sapiens (human)
Lineage: Eukaryota; Metazoa; Chordata; Mammalia; Primates; Hominidae
Description: HSALNT0339860
Source: RNAcentral
ACUCCAGUGACUGCCUCUCAGAAAAGAACAGGGCAAUGUCCAUUCUCCUUUUAUUUUCUUUAAGCACCUGAUCAUUCUAAAAGCAUGUGUUCCUCCGUGUGUGUGAGUUGUGUACACGUGUGUGUGUGUUCCUUUCUUUUCUCGGACUCCAGGCUCAUGACUGCUUAUUUGCAUGGUGUUUUGGUGUCAAAGGAGUGUUGAAUGUGUUCUCCACACACCCAGCUUUAUUCCACUCUAGGAGUUUAACUUCUUCAGCAUUGUUAUGAGGUCCCCGGUGACCUCAGUUUCUCCUCUCCGCGUCAUCCAGGACUUCACCUGAAGCUUGAGCUACACGUAAGACUUCAUCUACCUUGCACAGGGCAAUGGAGAGAGGAUGGCAUACCAGAAUCACCAGAUGACAGACAUCGGGGUGCUGUCGGACCCGGGAAUCAGAACCUCUGCAGAUAGAUAUUUUGGAAGGCGCUCCCUAGAUUGGCACCUCUGGUUAGAACCCUGCCCAGGGACUGGACAAGUUGGGCCCAUGGCUCAUAUCUGGCCAGUGUUCAUUGCUUUGUUGAAUCACACUUAAUCCUUUGGUUUUGGUAGAUUCCUGCAAGUAGACUGACAGCUGCAUGUUUGCAGGAAAGUUAAAUAUUUUGACAGCGCAGAAGACUGCUGCAUCUGGAGGGUUCUGGGUCCAGCUAUAACCAGACUUGCCUGUCCUAAACAAAUGGAUUGACUGCUUCCGGCAUCCUCACUUUACUUCUGCAUGGUGACCAACAUCCGGAGCUUAAUUACCUGACAGCCAGGAGAAGAGAUCCCACACUAAAGGUAUUACACGAGGAUGAGGCCAUGAAUGCCAGAAGGCAAGGACCGUUGGAGGUCAUCUUACAACCUACCCACCAAAGCUUUGUCUUCAGUUUGGAGAAGUUUUGAGUUACUAUUCGCAGCAUACCAAGAACAGUAUCUGCAAUCAGUAACUGCCAUGCAAGUAUUUGUUAAUAAAGGAAAUGUGAAGCCCCUGAAUGAUUUCAUCAGAGAGGAGUGGCACCAUCAGGUUUACAUUCUGAAAAGAUGGCUUUGGCUGCAGUAUGAAGAAUGGGUUGAGGAGCUCAUGAGACAACCAGGUGGGAGGCUCUCGCAGAAGAUGAGGCAGAGAUGAUGGUGGCUCAUGGGCAGGACUGAGAAAUGGCCACAAGGACCCAUGGGUGCUGAUAUUGCAUGCAGAGAUCUUGAGAGCUGUUUUGUGCAUUCUGUGGCUGGGUCUUUGAUCAGUGGAGAAAAUUUUGUGAUGGCAUCUGAAUCCACCUGGAACAUCAGUGCCUGUAUUGGUCACAGUUUUUCUGGUGGCAAAUAACAAAAUCCUUCUCUAGGUAUCUUGAGUGCAUCCCCUGUACCUCAGUUAUAGUGGCUUUAGCUUCAUUAAUUCAUUCACCUAUCCAUCUAUCUAUUCAGCUACUAAUCACAUUGUUCACUCCCCUCUGUGCCAGUUACUGCACCGGACACUGGGGAUACAACCAUGAAAAAUCCAGGCACAGAGCCCACCUUUACGGGGGGUAAGAAUCAAGUGGAGAUAAGGAAAUGGGUGACUUCCAACACAAUGACAAGCCCAGGCAGGGUGGGAUGGCAGCCCACUGUACAACUGUCUACUCAAGUUUGGGAGGCUGGUCAAGGAAGGCUUCCAAGAGGAGGUAAUAAUAUAAUAAUAUCUAGGCUGAGACCUGAGGAGAAGAAAGGGUUCACUAGGAAGGGAGAAGGAGGCCUGAGGAGAUUGGCCUGUGCAGUGUGGGGGCUGUGAGAGAAGGAUGAUCUUUUCCAGCUUUCAAGUGGAAAUCAGAAUACGGAUUCCUACAGGAGGUUCCCCGCCCCCUAACAGUUUGUGACGGUAAGGACAGGCCCCUGAGAUGACUCGUCACAUUUCCAAAAGUGGGAUGGAACCUGCAUAAGGCAAGCAGGACAAAGAAACUGCCUAUGUCUCAGGGUUCUGGUGGAAUUUCAUAUGCCCUGGGCCAAAGCUCCUUAUCUUGUGCUAAUCAGAAGUUCCAACUGGCAGUUCCAUGUCUUUGAUUAAUAAAAAUAGGGGUGGUAAUUAAUUACUUAAUAAAUGCAAUUUCCUUUCCUCAAUUUCUGUCCUCAAAUUCAACUAUUUUAUUUUAUCUUACUGUAAGGUUUGUAUACCUGUAAGUGGUCCUAAAAGCCUCAAUGGACACA